This is a non-coding RNA of Meleagris gallopavo (turkey), 2893 nucleotides long. The record is from RefSeq and is a predicted model, not a curated record. Lineage: Eukaryota; Metazoa; Chordata; Aves; Galliformes; Phasianidae.
GACGGCGCCGAGGCGUUGCGCCCGUCCUCGCUGUGUUGUAAAAAAGAAGCGUUUCCCGGAGUGUGGCAAUGGCACGCAAUCCCCACCGGGAACGGGACAGAAAUAUAUAUCACAGCAGAGAAGAAAGUGAAGACACACUGUUGGCAUUCCAGAUGCUGUUCCAGUUUGGGAUUGUGCUUUUCUUACCACAGCCUUAAAGGACUUUGUGGAGAAACAGCACGCUCUGCAUUAAUUGACAGCUUGAUCUGGUUCCUGCCUCUCCAUUCAUCAUGUGGGCAUGGUCAUAGGAGGAAUUUCAAACCAUGCAAGUGAGAACAGCAAGUGCAGCUGGACCUUGAGUGCCACAACUGAUUUGGAUGAACGAUUGUGGAAAGAGCAGUUUGAAAAGUCAAUGGCAAGUACAUUGAAGAAGUCGUUCAUUCUGUGGUUUUGAGGACUCCAAAGUAAAUGGGUGACAGACUGGAUCAGGGAAGAUGUUGCUGCCACGUCCACAUGCAAGAGUAACCUGGCAUGUACUCCAGGCCUAUGACUUCCUAAAAACAGUUGUACGUACCUUUUUUUUUUUUUUUUUUUUUUUGCUUGGAAAUGGCCAUGUAGAAAUUAUUUAUCCAUCCCUUUUAGCAAAUGAAUUUUAGUUUCUGGAGUUUUCAAGGAUGGGUAAAGAUAACUUUACUCAAUUUGAAAUCUGGACCACUUUGGUUAACUAGUAGACCACCGAGCAUUUUUUAUUUCCUGAAGCUUCAUCGUUAGUUCUCAUCAGAUAUUUUGAAAAAAAAUGUGUCAAGUGAAUAUAUCUGGUGAAGACCGUUGCCAAAGAAUAUACGACAUUUCAACUAAAUUGAAUCAAAUUAGAAAUUCAAGUGACUGCUCUGUAGUGUUUUUUCUUUAUUCAAGUAAUGAUACUACCCAUAGAGGUAGGAAUUGAGUGAUUUUUGCAAAAUUCAAACAUGCUUUCAUCUCUUGUGUGCAGAUGAAAUGCUGCCUGCUGGUAUUUAUCUGCUUUUUUGAUUGAUAUUCUGUGAUUCCUGCACAGUCCCAGGAGAGCAGAAUGCCGGCAAUGUUUUGCAACUGAUGUGAUGAAAUGAAGUACAGGUAGUUUCCACACAAAGGAUCUUCCUCUACAUUUGCAAUCUCAAAUGCCUCAUAGCUUUAGCCUCCCCAGGGGGACGAUAGGAUGUUCCCUGGCAGGCUUCAUGCUUUGAGACGUGGGAUCCGCAUGAUCCGUUUUGUCCCCAGGUGCUGUGUGGAGCAUUUCUGGCUGGCAGGCAUUGGCCAGAGUUUCAUUUUGGCUCCUCUUUAUCUGUGACGUGUUUUCUGGCAGAAUUCCUGUGGCAUGUGGAGUUGGGUCUCUUUCCUUGUAGAUUUCUAAAGUAAACAAUUUAACUGAAUGUUUGAAUACUUGUAACUAGCAAUAGCACCAAGCCAUAUGCGCUGCGGUGACUUGAAGCCAGUGCUUCUCUUCCAGAAAUUGUUAUGAAUUUAUUUUGUGUGUUUGAUUUGCCAUUGUGAAUCUUACACAGAGAUGAUGAUUGGAGACACUUUCUUAAUUAUUCUCUUACUGUGCUUAUGUGAAUUGAAUUGGCAUGGUCAAGGAUGUUGCUUAGAAUCGAAUUAUAACCUUUGGGGGACUUGGCGUAGGGUCUCCUGACUUCUGCUUUUUUCCCUGUGAUGGUGCACAGGAUUUCGUAUUAUGAUAAAAUCCUGUUGAAAUAAUUGAGGGUUCUGAAAAUCAAGGCAUCUGGAAAUCUGUGGAUGGGUGGAACUUGGAUCUAACCUUCACAUAGUUGGAUCUAUCUCCCAAGGGAUAGGAAGUACUGUAUUGUUCACAAUCUCCAGCCAGUGUCUCCCUCCUCCCAUGUUGAAUGUCAUUUUAAUACAGCUUCUAUAGGAUAGGUUGGAGAGGGGGACAGAUCUACGUUUACAACUGCCAUACUUACCAGCCUGGGAGGUAUGAGUUCCAUCUUUGUGCCUGCUGCAUUUGGUAUUUGAUAGGAGUUAGUGCUGGAAAUAUCUCUUCCAUUUGUGCUUUUUAUGAUCAUAAAUUGAGACUCUAACUCAUCUUUUUAUCAUGAACUAGAACUAGAGCACUAGGGCUUGUGCUACUUUGGACCCUGGCUUUGGAGAUAUCCCUGAGGAAGCUUCCAGUGUGGCUGUGGGCCCUGCUGGGAUUUUUAAUUUGCAUUGCUUUCUUUCGUUUUUCUCCUUUAAACUUCUUCCAGUCCUCUUUUAGUUGUCAUUAUUGGAGGUGAGGUUUUUAUCUCCGCUUCUGAAAGCUUCAAUUUCCACAAAGAUUUUAUAUGGUGUUGUAAUCAUUGUAAGAGUGUAAAGAAUAACUGUAAUCAAGUUGGUCUGCUGUGGACUUUAAUGUUUAAUGCAAGUCUUCUUCUUGCCCUUGGCUGCUACCCUUGGCUCCCCUCUCCAAGGGUGCUAAACACUGAGCAGUAUCCCUGAUGCAUCUAAUUUAGGACAUCUGCCACCUGCACAAUAGAGUUAAGAAGAGACAUCCCCCAAUUCCUAAUUAACUUGACAAAAGCAUUUUGUUCUACAGUCCUGUCCCUCCAGAGGGGAAGAGAAACCCAAGGCCACAGCACAGUUGUGAGUGCUGCUCUCCGGAGCUUGCACGCUUGCCACAGCUGGGGAUUAGACAGCUGAAGAAAAUAGUGCAGCAAGAAGUGGCAAUGGCAGCUCUUGGGAUGAGAUGACAUCUGCCAGGAGAAACGUGGUGUUGGGAUCUUCUGCAGCAUAGGGUUGUUUUUCCCCAUUGUGCACUCUGGUGUAGACUUGCUUUCCCUGUCAUCCUUUGCUCAUUAAUGAAGAUGGUAAUUGGUCUUUACUGGCCAGAGAUUUCAGCAGUUGUGAGUGACUUUCUGAGAGCAAUUUUGCUUUUUUUUUU